Xiphophorus couchianus (Monterrey platyfish) is the source of this 715-nucleotide long non-coding RNA. RefSeq lists it as uncharacterized. NCBI's taxonomy places the organism in Eukaryota, Metazoa, Chordata, Actinopteri, Cyprinodontiformes, Poeciliidae. The record is from RefSeq and is a predicted model, not a curated record. The transcript has 2 exons.
UGCUAAAGCUAAUGUAGCGUAGCUGAUUCUGCAUUGUGUCUUGUAGAAGAGUGACCACAGCCAGACCACAGCUGAUUGGAAAUCACUUUUAAUGAUCCUGCAUUCAAAUGGCAGAAAAUAGUAAUCAAGAACAGGCUUUUCUUUUCACAGUGUUCCACAGCGCCUUCUCCCACGGAAUCCGAACAGAAAGAGCCGCCUGUUUAAUCAUGAACAAUACUAUUUUCAGCACAUAGAUGAAGCAAUGUUUCAUGUACCAGAAGAGCAGCUAGAUAACUGCUAACUGCAGGUUAAGUGCUUCAACACCCAUUGUUUUACAAAAACAGUAAUAAAACUAACACUGAUUACACUUAAAAUACACUUAUUAAACACAGAAAGCAAAACUUCAUACCUUCUCCCACGAAAUCCGAACAGAAAGAGCGCGACGGAGAGCGUGGGAAAACCUUUCACAGAUUAUAAUGGUAUGACCCGAUAACUUUUCUUUUUAAAUUUCGAACUGAUUCUUUAAACAACAAUCUAUGAACUCAAUAUGUUAAACAUUAAAGGUAAUAAUUCACAGUUUUAUUCACAACAUAUUAAAUUUGAAUAAAGAUAAUAAUUUUGGGACAGGAAGUUACCCACUGUUUUGAAAUGGAUUGGUCGUCUUUUCAAAAUAAAAGCUGUCGGUGCUCAUAUAAUUUCCUACCGGAAUAGCUUCUCACUUUACAAUCUAGUGUAA